This 71-nucleotide transfer RNA is filed under the name Actinomycetota bacterium. RNAcentral describes it as "tRNA-Cys". It matches the Rfam family "tRNA". From Rfam's summary of the family: Transfer RNA (tRNA) molecules are approximately 80 nucleotides in length. Their secondary structure includes four short double-helical elements and three loops (D, anti-codon, and T loops). The record is from RNAcentral. Lineage: Bacteria; Bacillati; Actinomycetota.
GGCGCGGUGGCCGAGGGGUUAGGCAGAGGCCUGCAAAGCCUCGUACACCGGUUCGAAUCCGGUCCGCGCCU